This 433-nucleotide ribosomal RNA is filed under the name uncultured bacterium. RNAcentral's name for it is "partial 16S ribosomal RNA". It matches the Rfam family "Bacterial small subunit ribosomal RNA", at positions 29 to 507 of the family's 1533-position model. The record is from RNAcentral.
AACGAACGCUGGCGGCAUGCCUAACACAUGCAAGUCGAACGAGACCUUCGGGUCUAGUGGCGCACGGGUGCGUAACGCGUGGGAACCUGCCCUUAGGUUCGGAAUAACUCCCCGAAAGGGGUGCUAAUACCGGAUAAUGUCUUCGGACCAAAGAUUUAUCGCCUUUGGGUGGGCCCGCGUUGGAUUCGCUAGUUGGUAGGGUAAAAGCCUACCAAGGCGACGAUCCAUAGCUGGUCUGAGAGGAUGAUCAGCCACACUGGGACUGCGACACGGCCCAGACUCCUACGGGAGGCAGCGGUGGGGAAUAUUAGACAAUGGGCGAAAGCCUGAUCCAGCAAUGCCGCGUGAGUGAUGAAGGCCUUAGGGUUGUAAAGCUCUUUUACCCGGGAUGAUAAUGACAGUACCGGGAGAAUAAGCUCCGGCUAACUCCGUG